AUUGAACGCUGGCGGCAUGCUUUACACAUGCCAGUCGGACGAGUGGCGAACGGGUGAGUCACAUAUCGGAACGUACCGAUUAAUGGGGGAUACCUAAUCGAAAGAUUAGCUAAUCCCGCAUAUUAUUCCAGCGGCCGAUAUCUGAUUAGCUGGUUGGUGGGGUAAAGGCCUACGAGGGCGACGAUCAGUAGCGGGUCUAAGAGGAUGAUUCGCAACACGGGGACGGAGUCACGGCCCAGACUCCUACGGGAGGCAGCAGAGGGGAAUUGUGGACAAUGGGCGCAAGCCUGAUCCAGCCAGGCCGCGUGUCUGAAGAAGGCCUUCGGGUUGUAAAGGACUUUUGUCAGGGAAGCGGUACCUGAAGAAUAAGCACCGGCUAACUACGUGCCAGCAGCCGCGGUAAUAC
RNAcentral lists this ribosomal RNA (406 nucleotides) under uncultured bacterium. Its description in RNAcentral is "partial 16S ribosomal RNA". It matches the Rfam family "Bacterial small subunit ribosomal RNA", at positions 30 to 526 of the family's 1533-position model. The record is from RNAcentral.